AAUUGGUCUGAAGGUAGUGAGUUAUCUCAAUUGAUUGUUCAUAGUCUGUUACAGAUGGAACUCCCUGUUCUCCUCUUUCACCCCUUCUCACUAUUGCACUUGAAUAGUCUUUG
RNAcentral lists this Y RNA (113 nucleotides) under Carlito syrichta (Philippine tarsier). RNAcentral describes it as "Y RNA (ENSTSYG00000032770.1)". It matches the Rfam family "Y RNA". Rfam says of the family: Y RNAs are components of the Ro ribonucleoprotein particle (Ro RNP), in association with Ro60 and La proteins. Lineage: Eukaryota; Metazoa; Chordata; Mammalia; Primates; Tarsiidae. The record is from Rfam by way of RNAcentral.